CUGCUGUGCUCAGCAGAAGGAGGGAUGCUCUGCCUGAGGGAUUCUCUGCCCCAGCAAUGCUCUGGGAUUGGGGGCUCGACCCCUCUUCCACCUGCCACAGAAAUGCAAGAGCUCCCCCUGUGCUCUGAGUGCAGACUAUGUCCUUGGGAGAGGAUGUCUCCUGCUUCCCCUGACACCCAUGCUGUCGUUUUAAUCAGAAUUGCUGUCUGUUUCACAAGCCAGGAAUUGCAAGAGAUAUAAAAUCUAACACACAAGAGGAAAUCCCAGCCCAUGGAAGAUCUUUUGCCACACCAUUUCUAGCUUGAAGGACAAUUAAAGCAGCCUGAUUUAUGAUCCUAGAUUUGUAAUAAUCUUGCACUGCUUAACCAAGAGAUGACAUCCUAUCAGGUAUCCUCUGGACUUGCAUGAAACAUAUAUUCUGCAGUUUGGUGGGUUUGCUGCUGUUUACCUUUAGCUGUAAACAUUUGGCAUGAUCUAGCAGUUCAACAUUUUCUCCUAAUACCAGAUUUCACAAAGAACUUGCAAACACUUCCCAGAGACCCAGGCCUGCAGGAUUUCCUCCACUGCAGGAUAGGACUUUCACAUGGGACAGUCUUCUGCAAGGCCUGGGCUGAAGCAUGCGUUGGUCUGCAAAAUGGGACUUCUACUCCUGUACUUUAAUGAUUUUCCUCUCUAAAGGGUUAGUGCCCUGCCAAAUGACUUAGACUGUUCUUUCUCACUUUGAAGCUGUAAGGUACUGGAAAAGAAACCGGUUUAACAAGACUGGGGUCACAAAUGUACACAGCAAUCAGGCGAGGAUGAUUGUCAUCCAGGAGAAAGAAAGAAUGGAUGAAGAAAAAGGAAAAGAAAAGGAAAAAGAGAACCUGAAGGAUAAGCACAGACACUGAAAAACUGAAGCUAGUCUUCCUUGUGCUCACAUAAAGACGUGAGAUAGAAAAGUGUCCUCUUAACCCAAGCUCCUGAAGAAAGAUUGCUCUCUGUCAGUCCUAAAUGCUGAGGACUUAGCAGUAGGCAAGGUGCUUUCUUGCUCCACUGUCAAGUAUCUUUGUGAUCCAAUCUUAUUUUGAUUUGCAUUGCUUUUGCCAUAGUUUUUUUCUGAAAGAUGACAUCUGAAGGUAUGUCACAAAAUAGUUGUUGUUUUACAUUGUUGCAUCAUCAAGAUAUGAAUAGCUGUUCCACAAAGAUUUAGAUAGAAAUCUUUUGUCUCUCCCUUCCCUUGCAAUAGCAUGAGACUUGCAGCAGAUGCCAAACAGGCUAUCCCACAAACAAAAUGUGUGAAAUAGUUUCACUGGUGUAAGCUUGCACUGUAAUCAAAGAAUGAGGAGGGGGUAGAAUCAAAUAAUGCAAUACUGAUGAAAUCACUGUAGGCCCACAGGGUAAAUAAAUCAAACCAUUGUCUUUAUUUCUACUGUAGC
This 1415-nucleotide long non-coding RNA is filed under the name Cyanistes caeruleus (blue tit). RNAcentral describes it as "lncRNA (ENSCCEG00000000161.1)". The record is from RNAcentral. Lineage: Eukaryota; Metazoa; Chordata; Aves; Passeriformes; Paridae.